The sequence is a ribosomal RNA, 192 nucleotides long. It matches the Rfam family "Bacterial small subunit ribosomal RNA", at positions 1 to 174 of the family's 1533-position model.
UUUAUUGAGAGUUUGAUCCUGGCUCAGGAUGAACGCUGGCGGCGUGCUUAACACAUGCAAGUCGAACGGAGGACCCUUGACGGAGUUUUCGGACAACGGAUAGGAAUCCUUAGUGGCGGACGGGUGAGUAACGCGUGAGGAACCUGCCUUGGAGAGGGGAAUAACACAGAGAAAUUUGUGCUAAUACCGCAU